RNAcentral lists this ribosomal RNA (278 nucleotides) under uncultured bacterium. RNAcentral's name for it is "partial 16S ribosomal RNA". It matches the Rfam family "Bacterial small subunit ribosomal RNA", at positions 334 to 629 of the family's 1533-position model. The record is from RNAcentral.
AGGGCCUACGGGAGGCAGCAGUGGGGAAUAUUGCACAAUGGGGGAAACCCUGAUGCAGCGACGCCGCGUGAGUGGUGAAGUAUUUCGGUAUGUAAAGCUCUAUCAGCAGGGAAGAUAAUGACGGUACCUGACUAAGAAGCUCCGGCUAAAUACGUGCCAGCAGCCGCGGUAAUACGUAUGGAGCAAGCGUUAUCCGGAUUUACUGGGUGUAAAGGGAGCGCAGACGGCAGGGCAAGUCUGAUGUGAAAGUCCGGGGCUCAACUCCGGGACUGAAUUGG